Molecule: ribosomal RNA, 172 nt
Filed under: uncultured bacterium
Lineage: Bacteria
Description: partial 16S ribosomal RNA
Rfam family: Bacterial small subunit ribosomal RNA
Source: RNAcentral
CGGCAUCGACCAGAGGGAAAAAGGAAGCAAUCCGCUUUGAGAUGGUCUCGCGUCCGAUUAGCUAGUUGGUGAGGUAAUGGCCCACCAAGGCGACGAUCGGUAGCCGGACUGAGAGGUUGAACGGCCACAUUGGGACUGAGACACGGCCCAGACUCCUACGGGAGGCAGCAUG